This 585-nucleotide ribosomal RNA is filed under the name Lodderomyces orthopsilosis. RNAcentral's name for it is "eukaryotic LSU rRNA". It matches the Rfam family "Eukaryotic large subunit ribosomal RNA", at positions 50 to 651 of the family's 3401-position model. The record is from RNAcentral. Lineage: Eukaryota; Fungi; Ascomycota; Pichiomycetes; Serinales; Debaryomycetaceae.
GCGGAGGAAAAGAAACCAACAGGGAUUGCCUUAGUAGCGGCGAGUGAAGCGGCAAAAGCUCAAAUUUGAAAUCUGGCACUUUCAGUGUCCGAGUUGUAAUUUGAAGAAGGUAUCUUUGGGUCUGGCUCUUGUCUAUGUUUCUUGGAACAGAACGUCACAGAGGGUGAGAAUCCCGUGCGAUGAGAUGACCCAGACCUAUGUAAAGUUCCUUCGAAGAGUCGAGUUGUUUGGGAAUGCAGCUCUAAGUGGGUGGUAAAUUCCAUCUAAAGCUAAAUAUUGGCGAGAGACCGAUAGCGAACAAGUACAGUGAUGGAAAGAUGAAAAGAACUUUGAAAAGAGAGUGAAAAAGUACGUGAAAUUGUUGAAAGGGAAGGGCUUGAGAUCAGACUUGGUAUUUUGUAUGUUACUCUCUCGGGGGUGGCCUCUACAGUUUACCGGGCCAGCAUCAGUUUGGGCGGUAGGACAAUUGCAAAGAAAUGUGGCACUGCCUCGGUAGUGUGUUAUAGUCUUUGUCGAUACUGCCAGCCUAGACUGAGGACUGCGGCUUCGGCCUAGGAUGUUGGCAUAAUGAUCUUAAGUCGCCCG